RNAcentral lists this ribosomal RNA (528 nucleotides) under uncultured bacterium. RNAcentral describes it as "bacterial SSU rRNA". It matches the Rfam family "Bacterial small subunit ribosomal RNA", at positions 9 to 526 of the family's 1533-position model. The record is from RNAcentral.
GAGUUUGAUCCUGGCUCAGGAUGAACGCUGGCGGCGUGCCUAGCACAUGCAAGUCGAACGGAGCUUAGAGAGCUUGCUUUUUAAGCUUAGUGGCGAACGGGUGAGUAACGCGUGAGUAACCUUCCCUAGAGUGGGGGACAACAGUUAGAAAUGACUGCUAAUACCGCAUAAGACCACGGUACCGCAUGGUACAGUGGGAAAAACUCCGGUGGUAUGAGAUGGACCCGCGUCUGAUUAGCUGGUUGGUGAGGUAACGGCUCACCAAGGCGACGAUCAGUAGCCGGCUUGAGAGAGUGAACGGCCACAUUGGGACUGAGACACGGCCCAAACUCCUACGGGAGGCAGCAGUGGGGAAUAUUGCACAAUGGGGGAAACCCUGACCGAGCAACGCCGCGUGAGUGAAGAAGGUUUUCGGAUCGUAAAACUCUGUUGUAAGUCAAGAACGAGUGUGAGAGUGGAAAGUUCACACUGUGACGGUAGCUUACCAGAAAGGGACGGCUAACUACGUGCCAGCAGCCGCGGUAAUAC